Molecule: ribosomal RNA, 410 nt
Filed under: uncultured Methylomirabilota bacterium
Lineage: Bacteria; Methylomirabilota (SeqCode)
Description: bacterial SSU rRNA
Rfam family: Bacterial small subunit ribosomal RNA
Source: RNAcentral
AGCGUGGAGACAGGUGGUGCAUGGCUGUCGUCAGCUCGUGUCGUGAGAUGUUGGGUUAAGUCCCGCAACGAGCGCAACCCUCACCCCUUGUUGCCAUCAGGUCACGCUGGGCACUCUAGGGGAACUGCCCCGGUCAACGGGGAGGAAGGUGGGGAUGACGUCAAGUCAUCAUGCCCCUUACGUCCUGGGCUACACACGUGCUACAAUGGCCGGUACAAAGGGAUGCAAGACUGCGAGGUGGAGCUAAACCCAAAAAGCCGGCCUAAGUUCAGAUUGGAGUCUGCAACUCGACUCCAUGAAGGAGGAAUCGCUAGUAAUCGCGCAUCAGCACGGCGCGGUGAAUACGUUCCCGGGCCUUGUACACACCGCCCGUCACACCACGAAAGCCAGCUGUACUCGAAGUCGCUGAG